RNAcentral lists this ribosomal RNA (429 nucleotides) under bacterium. RNAcentral describes it as "partial 16S ribosomal RNA". It matches the Rfam family "Bacterial small subunit ribosomal RNA", at positions 355 to 776 of the family's 1533-position model. The record is from RNAcentral.
UGGGGAAAUUUGGGCAAUGGUGGCAACCCUGAUCCAGCCAUGCCGCGUGAGUGAAGAAGGCCUUCGGGUUGUAAAGCUCUUUCGGCCGGGAAGAAAUCGCACGGGCUAAUACCCUGUGUGGAUGACGGUACCGGAAUAAUAAGCACCGGCUAACUACGUGCCAGCAGCCGCGGUAAUACGUAGGGUGCGAGCGUGAAUCGGAAUUACUGGGCGUAAAGCGUGCGCAGGCGGGUUUGUAAGACAGGCGUGAGAUCACCGGGCUCAACCUGGGAACUGCGCUUGUGACUGCAAGGCUAGAGUACGGCAGAGAGGGGUGGAAUUCCACGUGUAGCAGUGAAAUGAGUAGAGAUGUGGAGGAACACAAAUGGCGAAGGCAGCCCCCUGGGUCGAUACUGACGCUCAUGCACGAAAGCGUGGGUAGCAAAGAGG